UAGAGUUUGAUCCUGGCUCAGAUUGCCUUCUGGCGGCAGGCCUAACACAUGCAAGUCGAGCGGCAGCGACAACAUUGAACCUUCGGGGGAUUUGUUGGGCGGCGAGCGGCGGACGGGUGAGUAAUGCCUGGGAAAUUGCCCUGAUGUGGGGGAUAACCAUUGGAAACGAUGGCUAAUACCGCAUGAUAGCUUCGGCUCAAAGAGGGGGACCUUCGGGCCUCUCGCGUCAGGAUAUGCCCAGGUGGGAUUAGCUAGUUGGUGAGGUAAGGGCUCACCAAGGCGACGAUCCCUAGCUGGUCUGAGAGGAUGAUCAGCCACACUGGAACUGAGACACGGUCCAGACUCCUACGGGAGGCAGCAAGUGGGGAAUAUUGCACAAAUGGGCGCAAGCCUGAUGCAGCCAUGCCGCGUGUAUGAAGAAGGCGUUGGGAAAAAAAAAGAACUUUCAGCAGUGAGGAAGGAGGUAUCGUUAAUAGCGGUAUCUUUUGACGUUAGCUGCAGAAGAAGCACCGGCUAACUCCGUGCCAGCAGCCGCGGUAAUACGGAGGGUGCGAGCGUUAAUCGGAAUUACUGGGCGUAAAGCGCACGCAGGUGGUUUGUUAAGUCAGAUGUGAAAGCCCGGGGCUCAACCUCGGAAUUGCAUUUGAAACUGGCAGGCUAGAGUACUGUAGAGGGGGGUAGAAUUUCAGGUGUAGCGGUGAAAUGCGUAGAGAUAAGAAGGAAUACCGGUGGCGAAGGCGGCCCCCUGGACAGAUACUGACACUCACAUGCGAAAGCGUGGGGAGCAAAAAGGACCAGAUACCCUGGUAGUCCACGCCGUAAACG
Molecule: ribosomal RNA, 825 nt
Filed under: uncultured bacterium
Lineage: Bacteria
Description: bacterial SSU rRNA
Rfam family: Bacterial small subunit ribosomal RNA
Source: RNAcentral